GUGGGGAAUAUUGGACAAUGGGCGAAAGCCUGAUCCAGCCAUGCCGCGUGUGUGAAGAAGGUCUUCGGAUUGUAAAGCACUUUAAGUUGGGAGGAAGGGCAGUAAGUUAAUACCUUGCUGUUUUGACGUUACCGACAGAAUAAGCACCGGCUAACUUCGUGCCAGCAGCCGCGGUAAUACGAAGGGUGCAAGCGUUAAUCGGAAUUACUGGGCGUAAAGCGCGCGUAGGUGGUUUUGUAAGUUGGAGGUGAAAUCCCCGGGCUCAACCUGGGAACUGCCUCCAAAACUGCAUGACUAGAGUACGGUAGAGGGUAGUGGAAUUUCCUGUGUAGCGGUGAAAUGCGUAGAUAUAGGAAGGAACACCAGUGGCGAAGGCGACUACCUGGACUGACGCUCAUGCACGAAAGCGUGGGGAGCAAACAGGAUUAGAUACCCUGGUAGUCC
RNAcentral lists this ribosomal RNA (444 nucleotides) under uncultured bacterium. RNAcentral describes it as "partial 16S ribosomal RNA". It matches the Rfam family "Bacterial small subunit ribosomal RNA", at positions 354 to 796 of the family's 1533-position model. The record is from RNAcentral.